This 477-nucleotide ribosomal RNA is filed under the name Candidatus Scalindua marina (nom. nud.). Its description in RNAcentral is "bacterial SSU rRNA". It matches the Rfam family "Bacterial small subunit ribosomal RNA", at positions 365 to 832 of the family's 1533-position model. The record is from RNAcentral. Lineage: Bacteria; Pseudomonadati; Planctomycetota; Candidatus Brocadiia; Candidatus Brocadiales; Candidatus Scalinduaceae.
UUCGCAAUGCCCGAAAGGGUGACGAAGCGACGCCGCGUGGGUGAGGAAGGCCCUCGGGUUGUAAAGCCCUGUCAGGAGUUAAGAAAUGUAGAUACGCUAAUAUCGUAUCUAUUUGACAAAGGCUCCAAAGGAAGCCACGGCUAACUCUGUGCCAGCAGCCGCGGUAAUACAGAGGUGGCAAGCGUUGUUCGGAAUUAUUGGGCGUAAAGAGCACGUAGGUGGGUUUGUAAGUCAGAUGUGAAAGCCUCCUGUUCAACGGGAGAAUUGCAUCUGAAACUACAAACCUUGAGUAUAGGAGGGGAGAAUGGAACUUCUGGUGGAGCGGUGAAAUGCGUAGAUAUCAGAAGGAACGCCGGCGGCGAAAGCGACUCUCUGGACCGAAACUGACGCUGAGUGUGCGAAAGCUAGGGGAGCAAACGGGAUUAGAUACCCCGGUAGUCCUAGCCGUAAACGAUGGGCACUAAGUAGAGGGGUUUU